AUUAAAUUGCAGAAUAGAUUUUAGAAAAAGAGAAAGGAUUUAUUUACUAGGAAUACAAACUAUGAGAGGUGCUGUGCUAUUGGAUGGCUUUUGAGAUCCAAACAGUCUUAAUGUUGAGAGUUAAUAGAAAAAAGUGUUCAAUGGCUCAAUCCAGUCAACUACACCCACCAAAUACAAUUGUGCCAAUCCUUUUCCAAAGUAUUUGAUGUAAACAUUUUUCACUGGAGUAUUUUCAACUUUAAUCCAAAGUGUAUGUUAUCUCACUAAGCUUUCAAAUAUGUUAAAUAUCAUUUCCUACUUCAAGAAAAACUAUCCAAGAUGUAA
Molecule: long non-coding RNA, 324 nt
Organism: Octopus sinensis (East Asian common octopus)
Lineage: Eukaryota; Metazoa; Mollusca; Cephalopoda; Octopoda; Octopodidae
Exons: 3
Source: RefSeq, a predicted model, not a curated record